Molecule: ribosomal RNA, 491 nt
Filed under: uncultured bacterium
Lineage: Bacteria
Description: partial 16S ribosomal RNA
Rfam family: Bacterial small subunit ribosomal RNA
Source: RNAcentral
GUGAACGCUGGCGGUAGGCCUAACACAUGCAAGCCGAACGGCAGCACCGUAAGAGCUUGCUCUUACGGGUGGCGAGUGGCGGACGGGUGAGGAAUACAUCGGAAUCUACUUUUUCGUGGGGGAUAACGUAGGGAAACUUACGCUAAUACCGCAUACGACCUACGGGUGAAAGCAGGGGAUCUUCGGACCUUGCGCGAUUGAAUGAGCCGAUGUCGGAUUAGCUAGUUGGCGGGGUAAAGGCCCACCAAGGCGACGAUCCGUAGCUGGUCUGAGAGGAUGAUCAGCCACACUGGAACUGAGACACGGUCCAGACUCCUACGGGAGGCAGCAGUGGGGAAUAUUGGACAAUGGGCGCAAGCCUGAUCCAGCCAUACCGCGUGGGUGAAGAAGGCCUUCGGGUUGUAAAGCCCUUUUGUUGGGAAAGAAAAGCAGCAGGUUAAUACCCCGCUGUUCUGACGGUACCCAAAGAAUAAGCACCGGCUAACUUCGUG